This 375-nucleotide ribosomal RNA is filed under the name uncultured eukaryote. RNAcentral describes it as "partial 18S ribosomal RNA". It matches the Rfam family "Eukaryotic small subunit ribosomal RNA", at positions 592 to 976 of the family's 1831-position model. The record is from RNAcentral.
CAAUAGCGUAUAUUUAAGUUGUUGCAGUUAAAAAGCUCGUAGUUGGAUUUCGGUUAAGAGCGACCGGUCCGCCGUUUGGUGUGCACUGGUUGGUUUUAACUUCCUGUAGAGGACGUGCUCUGGGUUUAACGACCUGGACUCGGAGUCUACGUGGUUACUUUGAAAAAAUUAGAGUGUUCAAAGCGGGCUUACGCUUGAAUAUUUCAGCAUGGAAUAACACUACAGGACUCCUGUCCUAUUUCGUUGGUCUCGGGACGGGAGUAAUGAUUAAGAGGAACAGUUGGGGGCAUUCGUAUUUCAUUGUCAGAGGUGAAAUUCUUGGAUUUAUGAAAGACGAACUUCUGCGAAAGCAUUUGCCAAGGAUGUUUUCAUUAA